RNAcentral lists this ribosomal RNA (774 nucleotides) under uncultured Neocallimastigales. RNAcentral's name for it is "partial large subunit ribosomal RNA". It matches the Rfam family "Eukaryotic large subunit ribosomal RNA", at positions 24 to 616 of the family's 3401-position model. Lineage: Eukaryota; Fungi; Neocallimastigomycota; Neocallimastigomycetes; Neocallimastigales. The record is from RNAcentral.
UAUGUGAUCGUCUCUCGCAUAUCAAUAAGCGGAGGAAAAGAAACUAACAAGGAUUCCCCUAGUAACGGCGAGUGAAGCGGGAAGAGCUCAAAUUUGAAAUCUUAAAGGGUUUCCCUUUACGAAUUGUAGUUUAAAGAAGUGUUUUCUGUUGAGGUUUUGGUAAAAGUUCUUUGGAAUAGGACAUCAUAGAGGGUGAGAAUCCCGUAUUUGACCUUUACUUUCAACUUUGUGAUACACUUUCAAAGAGUCGGAUUGUUUGGGAAUGCAGUCCAAAAUGGGUGGUAAAUUUCAUCUAAAGCUAAAUAUUGGCGAGAGACCGAUAGCGAACAAGUACCGUGAGGGAAAGAUGAAAAGAACUUUGAAAAGAGAGUUAAACAGUACGUGAAAUUGUCAAAAGGGAAGCGUUUGACACCAGUGUUGUUUUUCUGAAAAUCAAUUAAAGAACUGUUUAUGCUAAGCUGUUUAGACUUUAUCAGCUAUCUGUUUAGUUUUGAGCUUUUCUUUAAUGCACUUUUCAGUUAACAAGUCAACAUCAAUUUCUUUUGCUGUAAAAAAGCUUGAGGAAGGUGGCUUGAGAUUCGUCUUAAGUGUUUAUAGCCUCCUGCCUAUGCAGUCGGAGAGAUUGAGGUCUGCAGCGUAGAUCCUUCGGGGCUAAAUGCAUUUGUGCUAAGUUAUAGCAUUUUAUAGACAACUUGUUGACUAUGAUUUGUCUUGUAGCUUACUCGCUUAUGUUAUUUUACCUACGCUUAGGAUGUUGAGCGCAUGUCUCUCUCU